Oreochromis aureus is the source of this 2870-nucleotide long non-coding RNA. The record is from Ensembl. Lineage: Eukaryota; Metazoa; Chordata; Actinopteri; Cichliformes; Cichlidae.
ACUGGACAUAAUUGCCCUGUGACACCCCAACCCACACACACUUAUAGUGGCGCACAAAUUGCCUCCUCUUUUCAUUUUGGCACCUUCACACACUAAUACUCGCGCAUUUAGCAUUUAUAGUGACGCUGCUCUCCCACGAUGUGCUUAAACUUAAAGACCGACAGCUAGACUGGUCCACAGAAUUUCAAUGAUUUCUUUCAGUAUUUAAUGCAAAAUUCAUCCUGAUUGUUUUUUUUUUUUUUAUUAUUAUCCCACCUUUUGUGAUGUUUUUGAAUUUACUUGUUUAACGAUGCAUCAUCACUGUUAUCCAAGCAGAGCCGGGAGCGAGGGAAGGCGUGUUUGACUUUGGUUUUGAAAGCAGCCUCGACAAGUUUAACUGACUAAUCUUUGCUCCGAUUUGCUCUCAUUGUCCUGAUACCUGAUGCUGACUUGUAGCAGUUUGACCAUGCAGACUGUGGAAGCUUCUCCUCAAAGAUGAAAACCUGUGCAGCCGGCUCCCAUAAAAAAAGCUGCUUGCUUUGUCCCCUGAAGUUCUGAAGGGCUUCGUUUCUAAUGGCUUGUUGUAGUCGUCACUUAUAUCAUUUUUAUUAAUGCAUUCUAGUUGAUCUUGUUUCACUGAAGGAGUUGUGAUUAAACUUACUUUUCCUCCCAUCUAUUAAAAUGCAGUGAAAUUCUGAUUGGAUAUCAGUGUUUAAAUUAAUUUAAUAGUGGUGUGCAAAAAUAACAACAAAUUUUAAAUGAUUUCUUUGCAAAAUGGGGAUAAACACAGAAAAACGUGUAUCAUUAAAUGUAAAAUUAUUAGACGAUAGGCCUGGAUCAGUCUGUACAGCUGGUGUAAAGCAGCAUUACAUCUCUCCUAGUUCAAGCCGGCCUAUUUCUGCUAGCUUCUAGCUGCAUAUCCAUUUAAUCUAUUAGAGUAGCUUAGCAUGAUUCACAGAUCAAAAUAACAAGCCUUGGUGGAGCCCCUAAUUUUAUUCACUGUCUGACACAAGCUGUUUUUAAUCCAGCUUUUGUGUGAUUGGCUGCCCAUCAUGAGCAACUGGGUAGGGCUUCUGGUCUGAGAGUGCUGUAUUAGGUUUCUCUACCCUAUGACAUCACACAGACCCAAGAGUGGAGACGCCGGUUUGCAACGGAGCGUUCAGAGCCGUGUGAAGCUUGCACUGAUCUCAGUAUUUGGAAGUUUGUCGGUGUUCAGUAUGAAAAUUCAAGAUUUAUACCAGUAUAAACGAGACAGAGGUCCACUUUAACAAAAUCUUUCAGCUAUGCUACGUUUCCAUUUACACGUAGAUGGAAGUGGCCAAAGAUGAAGCGAGUCUUCCACAGUCUGCAAGGAUCCUUCAUAGCAUACAGCGUGGAAUCAGAAGGGUUAAAUUUCCUAACAUCCUGCAAUUAGCAAACGUGUCUCGAUUAGCACAAACAUUAAAAAAAACGUGGCCACGCUUUCCCCCUGGCUCUGUUUUCAGACUCGUGCAGUGAUGAUGACAGACCCCUGAAAAUGAGCACGGUCGCUCCACAGCAGAUCACAUACGAAAACCCACAAAAUGCUGUUCAGAUAUUUUUUUUUUAUUUUUUAAACAUGUGGCGUGUCUUAUGUGAACAGUUUAAGCUUUUUUCUUCGCACCCCCACCCCAUCUUCUUCUUUUGAGUGAACAAAGAGUUAAAUCAGUGGCCCGUGGAGACAAAUGAGAAUUUUUUUUAUUUCUUUUUGGUUGUUUAUUUUUCUUUUUUGUGUACUUACUUGGCUACAGCAAUGUGUUGCUUUUGGGGUUUUCAUGCUAAAUGGUAGAGCUGUUUUUUUUUUUUUUUUUCCCCCACAUAAUUUAUUUGAAAAUUGUUAACGUCAGACUUGAUCCCCUGUUUAAUUCUUCGUUAUAACUGAAUUGAUUCACACAGAAUCUGUGUUUAUUUUGGCAACAAUUCAACCUCAAAACUGUCCUCAAUGUUUUCAUGUUUAGGGUGGAGAAUUAAGAAAGAAAUAAGACCUACAUCAUACAUGUAUAUCUAUAUAUAAUCCUGACAGAGAAGACUUAGGGUACGGCAUCAUUAUGCAAACUUCAGUUUUUCCUCUAAUCCUUUGAUUUAUUUUAUAUUCUAGUUUACAGAGGGAAGAAUUCAUCUUAUUCCUGGUUUUCUCUCAUCGGAGAGGCUUCUCUGAAUACAAAGCGACAUAAGGAUAGUGUUUUUGUUUUUUUGUUUUUUGUUUUUUUUAAGAGUACAUAGGCAUUUUUUGCAGUUAUUUGUAUAAAGAAAUGGGUUACAACCUGCCUAAUGUUUAUUUUUUGUAACUAUAUCACAGUUCUUUUGGAGGUUUUUUGCUGCUGUGUAGUACAGUUAUAACAAAAUGCUGUCAGUGGCGAACUAAGAGGACGAAGACGCGGGUCAGGAAAAAAUCCCACUCUUACCCCCGCUACCUGUAUUCUUCUUUUAUUUUUUCCAAGUUGAAUGCUGUUGUUCAUUAGCUUUACAGGAAAGAGUUCAAAAACAAUACUGUGGAGGCGUGUAUCCUUCGUACGUGCAUUAUUUUUCAGCGUCCUGUAUGCGGAAAAGACAGGGGGGGUGAAGAGAGCUUAAAUUUUAGAGAGAAAGGGAGAACUGGUGGGAAUCCUCCUUGUGUAAAUAAGGAAAACUUGUUGUUGCUUUUUUCAUGUUAUGAUUGGUGCCUCGGCAGGUGCCCCGCCCCCUCACCCAUUUUUUCUUUUUAACUUCCUUUUCUCCUUGUCUCUUUUAUUUACUUGCGGAGGGAAAAGGGGGGUUGAAGGGGGUUGAAGGGGGUUCUCGGAGGCGAUUUGAGCAUCGGCAUAGUGUUUAUAUUUAUCAAAACUUUUUUGCUUUCGAUAGAGCUAUUGCAAUAAAAAUGUGUUCAUGUAGCC